GGCCUGGUAGUUCAGUUGGUUAGGGUUAGAAUGCCAGCCUGUCACGCUGGAGGUCGAGGGUUCGAGCCCCUUCCAGGUCGCCA
Molecule: transfer RNA, 83 nt
Filed under: Citrobacter freundii
Lineage: Bacteria; Pseudomonadati; Pseudomonadota; Gammaproteobacteria; Enterobacterales; Enterobacteriaceae
Description: tRNA-Asp
Rfam family: tRNA
About the family: Transfer RNA (tRNA) molecules are approximately 80 nucleotides in length. Their secondary structure includes four short double-helical elements and three loops (D, anti-codon, and T loops).
Source: RNAcentral